AGAAAAUAGAUACCCAGGUAGUCCAUGCUGUAAACGAUGGAUGCUAGCUGUGAUGCGUAUCGACCCGCGUCGUAGCGAAGCUAACGCGUUAAGCAUCCCGCCUGUGGAGUACGGCCGCAAGGCUAAAACAUAAAGGAAUUGACGGGGACCCGCACAAGCGGUGGAGCGUGUUGUUUAAUUCGAUGGUAAGCGAAGAACCUUACCCAGGUUUGACAUCCUUGGAAGUUCUGCGAAAGCAGAGUGUGCCUUCGGGAACCAAGUGACAGGUGAUGCAUGGCCGUCUUCAGCUCGUGUCGUGAGACGUUAGGUUAAGUCCUUCAACGAGCGCAGCCCUUAUAGUUAGUUGUAUUUUUCUAGCUAGACUGCCCUGGUAACAGGGAGGAAGGAGGGGACGAUGUCAGGUCAGUAUCUCCCUUAUAUCUGGGGCUAC
This 430-nucleotide ribosomal RNA is filed under the name uncultured bacterium. RNAcentral describes it as "bacterial SSU rRNA". It matches the Rfam family "Bacterial small subunit ribosomal RNA", at positions 775 to 1217 of the family's 1533-position model. The record is from RNAcentral.